RNAcentral lists this long non-coding RNA (1248 nucleotides) under Homo sapiens (human). RNAcentral's name for it is "HSALNT0105724". Lineage: Eukaryota; Metazoa; Chordata; Mammalia; Primates; Hominidae. The record is from RNAcentral.
ACAGAGGAGUCCAAGGUCAGGUUGUCUAGAGUCCAGCUCUUCUCACGACCCUAGUCCGCCUCCACAGAACCAGGGACGCCGGACAAGGAGGACACUGCCUUCAGGACCCUUCUGCGGAGGUCCCUCAUGGUGCAGAAGUUGGGAGUAGAGGCAGAAACAGCUGUGAAAAUUCUGAUUUGUUUGUUUCUCUGAGCCAAGCUAAAGUGGAUAAUGAAGCCAAGCUGGCGAUUACCUUCCUGUGCGUGAUAAUGGUGGUAGUGGUGAUGCUGACUGCAGCAGGAUGACGGUGAUGUCAGCAGCGACACCAUUGGUCUUAUUGAUGGUGGCAGUGCCCAGGGUGGUGUGGGGGUAAUAGCAUGAGUGGGUGCUGGGAUGCUGUUAGUGAUCCUGCUAGGGCCAGGUUAGCUUGGAGGGGAGAGUGAUGUCCAUCACUGCAGUGGUGGCAAUGCUGCUAGAGACCUCCUGAGUAGUUGGACUCGGGCUGGCAUUGCUGCUGGGACCUUCCCUCACCCCCAUCAGGAAGACCCCUCUGCUCCUCCCCACCCUCAGUGAAGGGGGCAGGGCUCAGAGCCUUCCGUAGAACUGGCUUUAUUGCAUUCCCUGUUCUGGACAGUGUAAGCGAUGGCCCUGCCUCUCGAGAGGGACAAAUGUGAUAAAUAACCAGGGAGGACAAGCGGGAGGAGGCAGUCCUGCCACCAGAAGUCAUAAGUCUCUGUCCAGCCAUGUGACAGGCUCAUUACGGAAAGCUUCGGGGCCAUCCCGGGCUGCAGGGCCUGGGGCUCGGGAGAGCCCUCCAAUGCGUGGCUACUGAUGAAUCUGCAGCUCAGGGCUCGUGGAAUCACCAGCCUCAAUCUCUCCACCCUUCCCGCACACCAGACCAGUCAUGCGCGGCCACUCUUUCACCUCCCUCCCUCCAUCCUGGGAAAUCCAGGAAGGCAUUUGACAAAGCCUUUCCUGGUGUUCUUGGAAAUAGGAUGGACAAAUAUGAGCUGGAUAGCAGUCCAGUUAGAUGCACUGGACUCCAACAGACCCACAGAGGCCUGGGUUCACAUCCCAGCUCCAGCACUUACAGGACAUGUGAUGUUGGCAGUUGCCUUAACCUCUCCUCGUCUGCAAAGCGAUGACAGCACAAACUCUGCUUCGUUCAGUUGAAAAUGUGAGAUGAUAUAAGUAAGCUCCUGAUCAAUAAUUAACAUUCAUGUGCCUUCUAUGAGCCUGGUAUGGGUCAAUACAUAAAUUACUUUUUAU